CUAAGCAGAAUAUAGCAU
Molecule: small nuclear RNA, 18 nt
Filed under: Arabidopsis thaliana (thale cress)
Lineage: Eukaryota; Viridiplantae; Streptophyta; Magnoliopsida; Brassicales; Brassicaceae
Description: snRNA_12741
Source: RNAcentral